This 508-nucleotide long non-coding RNA is filed under the name Phoenix dactylifera (date palm). RNAcentral describes it as "long non-coding RNA (PDAC_LNC022030)". Lineage: Eukaryota; Viridiplantae; Streptophyta; Magnoliopsida; Arecales; Arecaceae. The record is from RNAcentral.
AAAAAAAUCUGUAGAAUCACGUGACCUGCACGUCUUUCAAAAAAAACUGUUACCUCUGCUUUCACCGAAGGAAACCCUAGGGUUUCGCUGCCGUCGCCGCCUCCCCGCCAGUGCCGCCGCCGGGCAUCCAACCAGAGCUUCCCCGCCCGUGCCGCUCCGCCUUCGCCGCCUCCGCCAGUGCCGCUUCCUACCGCCGCCGAGAUCCGCAGUCGUCCGAGAUCGUCUUCUCCAUCAUCCGAGCCCGCGCCGUGCCGCUACGUUGUCCAGACCAGCUGCGACGCCACCGAUCGAGGUGCCUCUUCCCCGCGGCCAACCACAGCGCCGCCCGAACCAGCCGCGACGCCGUUGGGCAGCCGGCAGACCACCCGAGCUCCGCCCGCUUCCUCCGAGCGUCAUCGUCUCCCUCCCCACCGAGCCGCGCCACCACGCCAAUUCCGUCACACGCCACGCCCACCUCCAUUUGCCGCUGCACCAGACCGCCGCCUCCACCUUCUCCUUUCCCCUCCGC